UGUUGGUUUUACCGAUGCUCCGAGGACGCGAGUGUAUAAAAACACCUUUACUCCGAGGACGUAAAUUUCUCCCGAGGACUUUUUUCGGGUCCUCGGAAAGAUUCUGUCCCAAUCAACUCAAAAUGACGAAAUAUAUCAUGUGGUGAAAUUUGGUGAAAGUCCUCAGAAGGUCGGUAAAAUGUGAAUGUGCGUUUCCCGGUCACACAGUUUUAUCGGACGCCAUAACACACACUUGUUGUUUUCGAUGCGCGCGCAUCUCGGCGGCGGAAGUGAUGAUCAAUCAAGAUCUCUGGAGGUCGUAAAACGCCGCCACUGUCCAGCGGGAGAGAAAACUGUCAGUUGACCAUAGCAUCACAAGUUACUGUGGAUUCUGGUUAUUUUAAAAGUGAAAAUCAUGAAGAACUUUCGUGUAUUAUUUAGAGAUGGAGGACGGGUGCCAUGUUUACAUUCGCAACGAACAUAAGCAGACCAGUCUAUUUGUUUUCUGGGGGAUAUGACGAUAGGACCAUAUCUAUAGUUGUGUGAUGGGAGGUGAAUUUCAUCAUGACCUGAUGAUGGAAGAAGUAUAAUUGACAGAGUAUCAUGGAAUCCUUGUAACCAACCUUUUCUUGUUGAUGUGGAUUUUUUAAAUUAAGGAAACUGACUAAAAAAAUGACAUGCUGAAGGAUCAAGAAAAUGAUUCCAAUAAAAGAACUAAAAAGCCAUUUCACCAGUUAAAAGUGUGGAUGAUAUUCAGUGUGUUCAAAAAGUUGAAUAUAUAUAUACACAAAAAUGCAUUGAUUAGGAUGCAAAUUUGAUACAGAUUUAAGAAUCAUACAGUGUCAAGAUUCAUCAAUAGUGUGAAACAAUUUAUCAAUAAUAUGGCAACAUGCGACUGAUAUUGGAUUAGACAUCAACUUAUGAGGUACGUAUUUUAUAUAUAUAUUUUAACGUGUUUAAUAUGCCAUUUUAGUUAAAUUGAUCAAGGUAGCUAGCUUGCUUAAUUGGUAACGUUACAUUAAUUUAUUAAGAUUUAAUCUAAAAAGUACGUAGCAAAUUCAUACAGGUUCAUUUUUGGUACACGCAAUUAUUUGCAAGUUGUAUAUUUAAGAAGUUUCUACCCCUGAUAUUAGUCUAAGAUUGACAAAUGGGCAAAAAAAUAUGUAAUAUACUUGAUGAAAAAUUAUGAUUUAAAAAUUUUGAUUACCGAAUUCAGUAAAUAUGAA
Long non-coding RNA from Magallana angulata, 1205 nucleotides. RefSeq lists it as uncharacterized. The record is from RefSeq and is a predicted model, not a curated record. NCBI's taxonomy places the organism in Eukaryota, Metazoa, Mollusca, Bivalvia, Ostreida, Ostreidae. The transcript is spliced from 3 exons.